This 306-nucleotide ribosomal RNA is filed under the name uncultured bacterium. Its description in RNAcentral is "partial 16S ribosomal RNA". It matches the Rfam family "Bacterial small subunit ribosomal RNA", at positions 505 to 807 of the family's 1533-position model. The record is from RNAcentral.
GACAGCAGUAGCCACGGGAAUACAGAGGGUGCGAGCGUUAAUCGGAUUUACUGGGCGUAAAGCGUGCGUAGGCGGCUUCUUAAGUCGGAUGUGAAAUCCCUGAGCUUAACUUAGGAAUUGCAUUCGAUACUGGGAAGCUAGAGUAUGGGAGAGGAUGGUAGAAUUCCAGGUGUAGCGGUGAAAUGCGUAGAGAUCUGGAGGAAUACCGAUGGCGAAGGCAGCCAUCUGGCCUAAUACUGACGCUGAGGUACGAAAGCAUGGGGAGCAAACAGGAUUAGAUACCCCAGUAGUCCCUGUCUCUUAUAC